RNAcentral lists this ribosomal RNA (93 nucleotides) under Tamarix chinensis. RNAcentral describes it as "partial 5.8S ribosomal RNA". It matches the Rfam family "5.8S ribosomal RNA", at positions 64 to 154 of the family's 154-position model. From Rfam's summary of the family: 5.8S ribosomal RNA (5.8S rRNA) is a component of the large subunit of the eukaryotic ribosome. It is transcribed by RNA polymerase I as part of the 45S precursor that also contains 18S and 28S rRNA. The record is from RNAcentral. Lineage: Eukaryota; Viridiplantae; Streptophyta; Magnoliopsida; Caryophyllales; Tamaricaceae.
CGGGUGAAUUGCAGAAUCCCGUGAACCAUCGAGUCUUUGAACGCAAGUUGCGCCCGAAGCCAUUUGGUCGAGGGCACGUCUGCCUGGGCGUCA